RNAcentral lists this long non-coding RNA (202 nucleotides) under Carica papaya (papaya). RNAcentral describes it as "long non-coding RNA (CPAP_LNC013894)". Lineage: Eukaryota; Viridiplantae; Streptophyta; Magnoliopsida; Brassicales; Caricaceae. The record is from RNAcentral.
AAUAUGUAAUGAAUAAAAAUAUGAGUUUGCAAGAAAUAUCUUAUCAUCACUCUCUAAUCACUCUCUGAGACAAUGCUUUACAUACUAGUUCAAUUUUUUCAACUGAUCUGGAAUCAACAAAGGAAAUGUAUUAAAAAGGAAAUAGAUCAUAAAUACAUAAUAAGAGAGUAGAUAUCUUACGUGAUUUUAGGAUCACUACCAG